This 218-nucleotide ribosomal RNA is filed under the name uncultured bacterium. RNAcentral's name for it is "partial 16S ribosomal RNA". It matches the Rfam family "Bacterial small subunit ribosomal RNA", at positions 328 to 539 of the family's 1533-position model. The record is from RNAcentral.
ACGCUCGACACCUACGAGAGGCAGCAGUGAGGAAUAUUGGUCAAUGGGCGCUAGCCUGAACCAGCCAAGUAGCGUGAAGGAUGAAGGCUCUAUGGGUCGUAAACUUCUUUUAUAUAAGAAUAAAGUGCAGUAUGUAUACUGUUUUGUAUGUAUUAUAUGAAUAAGGAUCGGCUAACUCCGUGCCAACAGCCGCGGUAAUCUGAGCGGGCUGGCAAGGC